UGGAUAGUCAGGUCAGGUGGGGGAGCCAGCACUGACACACAACAAACAGCACGGGAUCCCAGGUGGCGACCCCCCCCCCCCCAGGCCGACAUGUGAUCCAGUCCCACCCUCCGGAAAUGGCCAUCCAUGGGCCGCAGCCAGGUGUUACGUGGGCGUCCCCUCAGCCUGGUCCAGCCGCUCGUAUCCUCAGCAAUGAGGAUCCUGCGAGCCGGAUCACCGUCAGGGAGACGCGCCACAUGGCCGUAUCGCCGUACCUGAUGCUCCCUCGCAAUGCAGCUCAUUGUGAAAAUGCUGGAUGGCUGCUCUUGGUUGUGUUCAGGCGCUGCCCAUCAUUCCUGUCACCUGUCUGUGGUGACACUACUCCAGAGGUCCGAUUGAGGCACAUGACGUGACUUCUCUUCUUACUGGGUCGCUGUGGACCUUCCACUUCAGGCUGGCACUGGCACAACCUCCUUAUGCCUAACAUGACUUCCUGGUCCAAAAACAUGCUGAGGAUAACUGGAGUUACAAAACUGAAUGGACUGACGGAUGGAUGGAUGGAUGGAUGGAUGGAUGUUAAAUUCUAAAAGGUAUCCUUGAUCCCAUCUUGAAAUCUCAAGCUUGAUCAGUAACAACUUGUUCCUUUUGUCUGUAAACAAGAUAUAAAAAGGGUAAGACUGCAUUUCCCGUUUCAUUUGA
Paramormyrops kingsleyae is the source of this 678-nucleotide non-coding RNA. Lineage: Eukaryota; Metazoa; Chordata; Actinopteri; Osteoglossiformes; Mormyridae. The record is from RefSeq and is a predicted model, not a curated record.